This 330-nucleotide unclassified non-coding RNA is filed under the name soil metagenome. RNAcentral describes it as "partial contains 5.8S ribosomal RNA, internal transcribed spacer 2, and large subunit ribosomal RNA". The stretch from base 1 to 120 matches the Rfam family "5.8S ribosomal RNA", at positions 35 to 154 of the family's 154-position model. The record is from RNAcentral.
GAUGAAGAACGUAGCGAAAUGCGAUAAGUAAUGUGAAUUGCAGAAUUCAGUGAAUCAUCGAAUCUUUGAACGCACAUUGCGCCCCCUGGUAUUCCGGGGGGCAUGCCUGUUCGAGCGUCAUUUCACCACUCAAGCCUCGCUUGGUAUUGGGCAACGCGGUCCGCCGCGUGCCUCAAAUCGACCGGCUGGGUCUUCUGUCCCCUAAGCGUUGUGGAAACUUUCGCUAAAGGGUGUUCGGGAGGCUACGCCGUAAAACAACCCCAUUUCUAAGGUUGACCUCGGAUUAGGUAGGGAUACCCGCUGAACUUAAGCAUAUCAAUAAGCGGAGGA